Molecule: ribosomal RNA, 687 nt
Filed under: uncultured Glomeromycotina
Lineage: Eukaryota; Fungi; Glomeromycota
Description: SSU rRNA
Rfam family: Eukaryotic small subunit ribosomal RNA
Source: RNAcentral
AGCAGGCGCGCAAAUUACCCAAUCCCGACACGGGGAGGUAGUGACAAUAAAUAACAAUACGGGGUUCUUUAGGAUCUCGUAAUUGGAAUGAGUACAAUUUAAAUCUCUUAACGAGGAACAAUUGGAGGGCAAGUCUGGUGCCAGCAGCCGCGGUAAUUCCAGCUCCAAUAGCGUAUAUUAAAGUUGUUGCAGUUAAAAAGCUCGUAGUUGAAUUUCGGGGUUAGUAGGUUGGUCAUGCCUCUGGUACGUACUGGUCUCACUGAUUCCUCCUUCCUUAUGAACCGUAAUGCCAUUAAUUUGGUGUUGCGGGGAAUUUGGACUGUUACUUUGAAAAAAUUAGAGUGUUUAAAGCAAGCUAACGCUUGAAUACAUUAGCAUGGAAUAAUGAAAUAGGACGUUCGAUCUUAUUUUGUUGGUUUCUAGGAUUGACGUAAUGAUUAAUAGGGAUAGUUGGGGGCAUUAGUAUUCAAUUGUCAGAGGUGAAAUUCUUGGAUUUAUUGAAGACUAACUACUGCGAAAGCAUUUGCCAAGGAUGUUUUCAUUAAUCAAGAACGAAAGUUAGGGGAUCGAAGACGAUCAGAUACCGUCGUAGUCUUAACCAUAAACUAUGCCGACUAGGGAUCGGAUGAUGUUAAUUUUUUAAUGACUCAUUCGGCGCCUUACGGGAAACCAAAGUGUUUGGGUUCA